CCUACGGGGGGCUGCAGUGAGGAAUAUUGGUCAAUGGGCGCGAGCCUGAACCAGCCAAGUCGCGUGAGGGAGGACGGCCCUACGGGUUGUAAACCUCUUUUGCCGGGGAGCAAAGUCACCCACGUGUGGGUGUUGGAGAGUACCUGAAGAAAAAGCAUCGGCUAACUCCGUGCCAGCAGCCGCGGUAAUACGGAGGAUGCGAGCGUUAUCCGGAUUUAUUGGGUUUAAAGGGUGCGUAGGCGGAUCGUUAAGUCAGUGGUCAAAUUGAGGGGCUCAACCCCUUCCCGCCAUUGAAACUGGCGUUCUUGAGUGGAAGAGAAGUAUGCGGAAUGCGUGGUGUAGCGGUGAAAUGCAUAGAUAUCACGCAGAACCCCGAUUGCGAAGGCAGCAUGCCGGCUUCCGACUGACGCUGAAGCACGAAAGCGUGGGUAUCGAACAGGAUUAGAUACCCCUGUAGUC
This 459-nucleotide ribosomal RNA is filed under the name uncultured bacterium. RNAcentral's name for it is "partial 16S ribosomal RNA". It matches the Rfam family "Bacterial small subunit ribosomal RNA", at positions 338 to 795 of the family's 1533-position model. The record is from RNAcentral.